RNAcentral lists this ribosomal RNA (378 nucleotides) under Neofelis nebulosa (Clouded leopard). Its description in RNAcentral is "partial 16S ribosomal RNA". It matches the Rfam family "Bacterial large subunit ribosomal RNA", at positions 1969 to 2524 of the family's 2925-position model. The record is from RNAcentral. Lineage: Eukaryota; Metazoa; Chordata; Mammalia; Carnivora; Felidae.
UUGUUCCCUAAAUAGGGACUUGUAUGAACGGCCACACGAGGGCUUUACUGUCUCUUACUUCCAAUCCGUGAAAUUGACCUUCCUGUGAAGAGGCAGGAAUACAACAAUAAGACGAGAAGACCCUAUGGAGCUUUAAUUAACCGACCCAAAGAGAUCCCACAUCCAACCAACAGGGGCAACAAACCUCCAAUGGGUCGACAAUUUAGGUUGGGGUGACCUCGGAGAAUAAAACAACCUCCGAGUGAUUUAAAUCUAGACUGACCAGUCAAAAGUAUUACAUCACUUAUUGAUCCAAAAGCUUGAUCAACGGAACAAGUUACCCUAGGGAUAACAGCGCAAUCCUAUUUUAGAGUCCAUAUCGACAAUAGGGUUUACGAC